Molecule: non-coding RNA, 22 nt
Filed under: Danio rerio (zebrafish)
Lineage: Eukaryota; Metazoa; Chordata; Actinopteri; Cypriniformes; Danionidae
Source: miRBase by way of RNAcentral
ACAAUGGAAGCCAAUGGUUACC